This 2656-nucleotide ribosomal RNA is filed under the name Triticum aestivum (bread wheat). RNAcentral's name for it is "partial small subunit ribosomal RNA". The record is from RNAcentral. Lineage: Eukaryota; Viridiplantae; Streptophyta; Magnoliopsida; Poales; Poaceae.
AUUAUCAAGUAACAAAUUUACUGGUCGGUUUCCAUCAGGGCUUGCAUCAUGUCAAUGCCUACAAGUACUUGAUUCUUCUGCAAAUUCUUUUGUGGAUGUUGUACCAACAUGGCUGGCCAAAUUGCCACGCCUUCAAGUGCUUGAGUUGGGUGCUAAUAAGCUUAUUGGCUCAAUCCCAGCUAGUCUAAGAAAUCUCACCAGUCUUUCAAGAAUAGACAUGCCCUACAACAACCUCACAGGGGAGAUUCCGCCAGAAUUAGGUCUUAUACAGGAACUCUCACAUUUGCAUCUUGGAACCAAUCAGUUGACAGGUGAAAUUCCAGCUUCCCUCGGCAACUUAUCCAAAUUAUCUUACCUAGCUUUGGAAAUGAAUCAAUUGUCCGGCCAAGUACCAACUGCACUUGGAAAAAUGCAGCUUUGAACAAUCUCGAUUUGAGAGAAAACAACUUGAAGGGAAAUCUAGACUUCUUAUCAGCCCUGUCCAAGUGCAGAAAGCUCCAAUUCCUUUGGUUAGGCGCUAAUUCUUUCACAGGCGUCCUCUCCGGCCAUGUGGGAAACCUCAGUUCACGAUUAAUCUAUUUUAAUGUAGGUGACAACAAGUUAAUAGGUGGGCUCCCGGUAGAGAUCUCAAACAUAAGCAGCCUUGCAAGACUAGGUGUAGAAAACAACCUGUUAACCGGGCCAAUCCCAGAAUCCAUAGCUAUGUUGGAAAAUCUUGGAUGGCUUGAUCUCUCAGGUAAUGACAUGUUAGGCCCUAUCCCAGCACAAAUGGGUUUGCUCGGAAGUCUAGAGCGGCUUUCUUUCCAUGCAAACAAAUUAUCAGGAUCUAUACCAAGUAGCUUUGGAAAUCUUAGUUUGUUAGAAAACAUCGACUUGUCUAGUAAGCAGUUAAGUUCAAUGAUACCUGCAAGCCUUUUCCACCUAGAUAAACUUAUCACACUAGAUAUUUCUCACAAUUACUUUGUUGGUGCACUACCAGUCGAUGUUUCAGGUCUAAGACAAGUAUACCAAAUGGACAUUUCUUCCAACUUCUUGAUAGGAAGCACCCCAGACUCAUUGGGACAACUUAGUAUGCUAAUCUACCUAAAUCUAUCGCAUAACUCCUUCAAAGGAUCAAUUCCAGGCCCACUCAAAAAGUUAAGCAGCUUAGCAUCAUUAGACCUAUCAUUUAACAAUCUCUCUGGUAGCAUUCCCACGUUCCUUGCUAACUUUACAUACUUGACUACCUUGAACCUCUCAUUCAAUAGUCUAGAAGGCCAAAUACCCGAGGGAGGUGUUUUCUCAAAUCUCACAUUGCAAUCUUUGAUUGGAAAUGUUGGGUUGUGUGGCGCUCCGCGCCUAGAUCUUUCGACAUGCCUUGACAUACCUCACUCAAGAAACAAACAUGUGCUACAAAUUCUACUCCCGACACUCACACUAGCUUUUGGCGCCAUUGCCAUUUGCAUAUACCUAUUGUUCGGAAAGAAACCUAAGGGGGGAGAGGACAAACAUUUUGUCAAUGCAAAUGAUGUCAUAGGCCAUCAGAUAGUCUCCUAUCAUGAGCUCAUUCGUGCCACCAAUAGUUUCAGUGAAGAUAACAUCUUGGGAUGCGGAAGCUUUGGAAAAGUAUUCAAAGGCCAACUAAGCACUGGUUUGGUAGUCGCUAUAAAAGUUAUUGACGUGCAGCUAGAGCAGGCCAGUCAAACUUUUGAUGCCGAGUGUCAAGUGCUUCGUAUGGUGAGACACCGCAACCUCAUAAAGAUACUCAACACAUGUUCCAAUCUUGAUUUCAAAGCGCUAGUGCUUCAGUACAUGCCAAAUGGCAGCUUGGAGAUGCUCCUACAUCAGACCAAGAGUGCAGUGCGCUUGGGAUUCCUUGAGAGAUUAUGCAUCAUGCUAGACGUGUCGAUGGCAAUGGAUUAUCUACACCAUGAGUACUACAAUUUGAUCUUGCACUGUGACUUGAAGCCUAGCAACGUGUUGUUCGAUGAGGAGAUGACGGCGCAUGUGGCGGACUUUGGCAUUGCAAGGUUGAUUCUAGAUGACAACAGCAUGACAUGUGUGAGCAUGCCUGGAACAGUUGGGUACAUGGCACCUGAGUACGGAUCUCUUGGAAAAGCAUCGCGGAAGAGCGAUGUGUUUAGUUAUGGAAUCAUGCUCCUUGAAGUCUUCACCGGAAGGAGACCCACAGAUGCUAUGUUUGGCGCACAACUAACUCUUAGGCAGUGGGUUCAUCAGGCAUUUCCUGCAAAGCUUGUCCAAGUCGUUGAUAGCCAGCUUCUGCAGGGCUCCUCUCUUUCUAGCUGCAAUCAGGAUGGUGGUUUUCUUGCGUCGGUCUUCGAGUUGGGAUUGAUCUGCUCUAGUGACUUGCCUGAGCAGAGGAUGACGAUGCAUGAUGUGGUAGUGAUGCUGAAGAAGAUCAAAGUCGAGUACACCAAACUGAUAGCUACUACUAUGCCACGUAGUGCAACACAAUGAUCGAUCGUAUAUCCUUUCUUACGUCUCAUCUAUAUCUAUGUAUAGCCUAGAUGUAUACAUUUUUCUUCUGCACUUAGAAUAGCCACAUAACUCCUCGGAUGUGUUAAUGUGUAUGACCGAUUUAAAAUUGUAUUGGGAUGUACGAUUAUACAUCCUAUUUAAGAAAGAAGGCUUUCGCCAAGUAUUAAAUUGAUAAUGC